Molecule: ribosomal RNA, 371 nt
Filed under: Aedes rubrithorax
Lineage: Eukaryota; Metazoa; Arthropoda; Insecta; Diptera; Culicidae
Description: eukaryotic LSU rRNA
Rfam family: 5.8S ribosomal RNA (bases 1-129)
Source: RNAcentral
GCUCGUGGAUCGAUGAAGACCGCAGCUAAAUGCGCGUCAGAAUGUGAACUGCAGGACACAUGAACACCGACAAGUUGAACGCAUAUUGCACACCGUACAACAGUACGAUGUACACAUUUUUGAGUGCCUAUGUUUAUCCAUUCAACUGUACGUGCGUGCGCGUCCCGCCACAGCGCUGGUGCGAGGACAGGCGCUCCGCGUACGCGCAGUGACGUUUUCCCGAGCCCACUCGGUAAAACGUUGGGCGCGGCUGAUCAAUACAUCCCCUAGACCAACGCGCUUGGUUACGUUGUAUUUCAUCGGCAGGACCUCACACCCCCCCAUACACAGUAGGCCUCAAAUAAUGUGUGACUACCCCCUAAAUUUAAGCA